This 1407-nucleotide long non-coding RNA is filed under the name Numida meleagris (helmeted guineafowl). RNAcentral describes it as "lncRNA (ENSNMEG00000022950.1)". Lineage: Eukaryota; Metazoa; Chordata; Aves; Galliformes; Numididae. The record is from RNAcentral.
UAUCUGUUAAGUAAAGAUCUGUUAUAGUAUAAUUUAUAAGAGAUUAUUCUAUAUGAUCCUAUCAGCAAAUGUAUUUUCUGUAACAAAAAAAAGCACAAUCAUCUGAUCCAGUUAUUGUAGCACCAAAAACUCCAAGCAGACUUCAGGAGCAUAUAAACAGCCAGAGAGAACUUGAGAUCUGUAUUCUUAAUGCACAUACUCUGAUCAUUUUACCCAGAUAACUUAACCUAUUCACUUUUCUAUUUUAUUUUUUUUCUAUGGGCAGGAUCUACGUCUACAAGCUUGUGAAACACCGCCCAGCAGUUAAUACCUGCAGCACUCCCCUUAGUUUUCAGCAUGACUACUGACAAGGAAUGAAACAUCUACAGGGCAGAAAGCUGUAAGAGCUAACUAACCAGACCUAGAUCUCUGUGCUGAAAUUCAUUGUGUACGGGACGCCUUCAGCCUGGCUCACUCCUGCUCCUCUCUGCUCGUCAGCCCGCGCAGGAGGAGCAGCAUCCCGGAGCUGUACGCUGCCGUCUGCGCACUGCGCUGCACCACUUCAAAUGAAAGCAGUAAUCCCCGUGUUUACUUCUGGCUAACCGAGGCUGCCUUUUAUGUCAGGGAUCGCGCUUGAGAAAUGAUGUAACCCAACAGCCACGCUUAACGAAAACAAACAAACAGCGAUUCCCCAGAUGUGAUCCAAAGGGAACUGUUUAGAUAAAACCCAGUGUACCCUAAUUGAAAAACAGCAAAGAUAAAACGCUCAGCAAGUUUUACAAUAGGAAUUUAAAAUUAAUCCCAGAUAAAUUAAAUACUUGUGCAUGCUUUGAUACCUCCCCCUCCUGCAGCGACAUGCUUUAACUUUUGACGGGUCAGGAAAACCCACUGACAUAAAGUCAAAACCCAGCGCGCGUACAGCUUUCCUCCUGCAACCUUUUUUUUUCAGUAGCCGGGAGCAAAAGCAAAGGGCCAAACGCGGCCCGCAUCCCAGCACAGCGGGCGGCGGACACUACUUCCGCGACGGCAAAGGCCUCUGCAGAGCCCCCUGGCCCCGCCGCCCGGCUCCCGCCCGUGCGCCCUGCUCCCCGCUCCCCGCCGUGCCUUCGCCGUGGGUCGCGGUGCUCUGCGCCGCUCCCUGCCCCGCAGCCCCGCGCCGAGCCGGCUCCUAGCGCGCGCCGCGGCCGCAGAACGCCCCGGAACGCAAAGGGCGGGCUGCGCGCCGCGGGGGAACGGGGCCGGAAGGACGUGGCGGCAGCGCGGUUUGGCGGGAAACGGUUGCUAGGGGCCCUUAGCAACGGCACGCGCCGGCCUGCAGCGCGCGGCCUUUCGCCCUCAGCUCCUGGAACCUUUAGCGUUUCCUGCCCGGUACUUUUUUUUUCACCGAGUGGCAUUCUGGUAAGAACAGUUCUUACUGUAUGUCAGUAG